RNA transcript from Pan troglodytes (chimpanzee), 3822 nucleotides. It is a transcript of the gene named family with sequence similarity 186 member B, with no coding region annotated. The transcript has 8 exons. The record is from RefSeq and is a predicted model, not a curated record. Lineage: Eukaryota; Metazoa; Chordata; Mammalia; Primates; Hominidae.
GCCUCUGACUGACGGUCGGGGGCCGGCGCCUCUGCCUCUCCCCGCUGCCUGCGUCCUGGCUUCGCAGUCGCCGGCGCUCCAGGAGCCGAAGCGUUCACGCAGUGUGUAGGGUGCCUUUGCGCUGCACAGCAAAUUUAAUUUGCUGUGUAGCUCUUUUACAGUACUUUUAAGUUAGUUAACUCCAGAACUAUUUGUUGAGCACCUGUGAGGUGGCAGGGUCUGUCUCGGGGACUGAGCACACAGCAGCUUGGGAAAAAAAAAAAGACAAAUCCCCGAAAUCACGCCCUUGUGGGGCGUACACGUGCUUCUCGCGUGACCCUGAAGUUCACUUUUGGGACCUGGCUCCCACUGAGCGCUGCACUGAUGAGAGCAGGGCCCACUCUUUGACAGAAGUUAAAAAUGUGAGGUACAUGCUUGCUGUGCGGCUGAGGAAACUGUAACCUGGCGCUCUGCGGGGAAUGCGCUGAAGGCCUUGGGGCUGGAGAGUGACAGGCCCCAGGCACACGGGUGCAGAAAGGCGCUGACCGCCAGCCUGCAAAGCCCCGCAAAAGGCGCUUCCUGUUCCCUUUAUUCCCCCCUCACCUGAGCCGGGACUCGCGUGAUGCCGUGCUAGGUUCCUGAGAUCCAAAGAACUCCGGAGAGGAUAUUUCUACCCAGCUCUCAGACAUUUUGGACAAUGUCAAUUGUGUCAUCAACCGCUUCCAGGAAGAAUUAGGAUAUGAUUUAAAAGAAAAUGCCAAAUCUCAGCAGACAGAUCCAAAGGGCAAGAAGAGAUUCAUCUUGCUGGAAAAAAUUGCCUCCUUCUCCAAAGAUGCUAUGAUGAAGGAGAAGCACCUGUAUGACAUUCUCCGCUGGCUGGGUGACUGGGGUGACACUCUGACCUAUGAGAUCGGGCCCAGGAAGAGUGAAGAGGAAGAAGCAGCUCUGGACGAAUGGAUUGAAGCGACGGAGAAAGUGUUACCGCUGUCCCUCAUUGCCACCAAAAGAGGCAUCGAGUCACUCACUGCCCUUUGCUCCACUCUCAUUGAAGGACAAAAGAAAAGGUCACAAGUGUCCAAACGCACCUUCUGGCAGGGCUGGCAGGGAAGAAGCCCACAGACAUCUCCAUCCCAUCCUCAGCCACUAAGCCCAGAACAGAUGCUCCAGGACCAGCAUACCAUGAACACGAAGGCCUCGGAGGUGACGUCCAUGCUGCAGGAGCUCCUGGACUCUACCAUGUUCAGCAAGGGGGAGGUCAGGGCCAUCAGGUACAUGGCCACUGUGGUGGAGAACCUCAACAAGGCCUUGAUCCUCCAACACAAGGAGAACAGGAGCCUGGAGACCAAAUACAGGCACCUGCAAAUGCAGGCGACCAAAGAGCUCAGCAGCCAGAGGCUGCACUUCCAGCAGUUCAUGGAGGUCCUUGAGAGCAGGAGGGAUGCUCUGCUGAAGCAGGUAGAGAUCUUAGGGGGAAGGUACCAUGACCUUCUCCUGACGAAGCAGGCCUUGGAGUUCCAGCUGAAGAAGGCUCAGAAUGCUACAGGUCAGGCAGAAGACCUGGCUGAGGUUUCUGUUGACUCCCCAGGUCCCUCUGAGAGAGAGACCCUCCCAAGGAAAGAAACAGUCAUGGAGGAAAGCCAACAGGAACCGAUGAAGGAGGAGCAGUUGUUCUCGCCACUUCCCCCAAGUCCCAUGGCCAUGAUGCGGGACAGUGGUGCUAUAGCUGCAGGGCACCAGCCACUUUCCACCAUGACUGUGCGCUCGAGGGUUGCAGAUGUGUUCAGCAGCAAGGACACUGAGAGCCUUGAGCCUGUGCUUUUACCCUUAGUAGAUCGCAGGUUUCCUAAGAAAUGGGAAAGACCGGUGGCAGAAAGCUUAGGCCACAAAGACAAAGACCAGGAGGACUACUUCCAGAAGGGAGGACUCCAAAUUAAGUUCCACUAUAGCAAGCAGCUGUCUCUAGAGACCUCCAGGCAGGUGACCUCUGAGAGCCAAGAGGAGCCCUGGGAGGAGGAAUUCGGCCGGGAGACGCGGAGGCAGCUGUGGCUGGAGGAGGAGGAGAUGUGGCAGCAGCGGCAGAAGAAGUGGGCCCUGCUGGAGCAGGAGCACCAGGAGAAGCUGCGGCAGUGGAAGCUGGAAGACCUGGCCAGGGAGCAACAGUGGAGAUGGGUCCAGCUAGAAAAGGAGCAGGAGAGCCCACGGAGAGAGCCAGAGCAGCUAGGGGAGGAUGUGGAGAGGAGGAUCUUCACACCCACCAGUCGAUGGAGGGACUUGGAGAAGGCAGAGCUAUCAUUAGUGCCUGCCCCAAGCCGGACCCAAUCUGCUCACCAAAGCAGGAGGCCACACUUGCCCAUGUCUCCUAGUACCCAGCAGCCUGCCCUGGGAAAGCAGAGACCUAUGAGUUCAGUGGAGUUUACCUACAGACCACGGACCCGCCGAGUUCCCACAAAGCCCAAGAAAUCUGCCUCCUUUCCUGUCACUGGGACAUCCAUCCGAAGGCUGACCUGGCCCUCUUUGCAGAUAUCCCCUGCAAAUCUUAAGGAGAAGGUGUACCACAUGGACAUGGAGGCCCAGAGGAAGAACCUGCAGCUCCUGAGUGAGGAGUCUGAGUUGAGGCUGCCCCACUACCUGCGCAGCAAAGCACUGGAGCUCACCACCACCACCAUGGAGCUGGGCGCGCUCAGGCUGCAGUACCUGUGCCAUAAGUACAUCUUCUAUAGACGCCUCCAGAGCCUCCGGCAAGAAGCGAUCAACCAUGUACAAAUCAUGAAAGAAACGGAGGCUUCCUACAAGGCCCAGAACCUCUACAUCUUCCUGGAAAACAUUGACCGCCUGCAGAGUCUCAGGCUGCAGGCCUGGACGGACAAGCAGAAGGGCCUAGAGGAGAAGCGCCGAGAGUGCCUGAGCAGCAUGGUGACCAUGUUCCCCAAGCUCCAGCUGGAGUGGAACGUUCACCUGAACAUCCCUGAGGUCACCUCGCCAAAGCCAAAGAAAUGCAAGUUGCCUGCAGCCUCACCCCGGCACAUUCGCCCCAGUGGCCCUACCUACAAGCAGCCCUUUCUGUCUAGGCACCGGGAAUGUGUGCCCCUGCAGAUGGCCAGGCUCUUGGCACUGUGCUUAAGGGGCCUGGUGGCUGAACUUGCUCUGGUGAUGGAGGACUUUGACCUUCUGCACGUCCUCUAGCGAGCUCUCUGGCAAGCACGCAGAGUGUCUGACAUUCUUCUCCUGCUUUGGGGCUGCUCCAGUGCCUGGACUCUCCUCUCAUGCCACAGGACAUCCCAAGAUGACUUCAGAUUGCCCUAUUGCCUCAAACAUCAGCUGUAUGAUGAAGAUUCCCAAAUCCAUCCCCAAUUCCAAUCUCUCCUCUGAGUCAUAGAGCUGUAUAUGCAAACGCUCAACUGCACAUCCCAACUGGCUGCCCACUGGCACCUCCAACUCAAUCAAUGCAAAUGAAACUCAUCACCUUUCCUUCUCAUCCCCAACCCUGCAGCUCCACUUGUGCCUCUGGUCUCAAUGCAUAUCUGCCAGCCUCAUCCACUGCCAAAGCCUGAACUGGGCAUCAUAGGUGCCUGAGCUCCUGCACCCAUUCAUGCAAUCUCUCACCAAGCCCUGUCAUCAUCUACAUCUUUUCUGUCUUCCCCUCAGUGACUACCCUAAAUUGGGCCACCAACUAAUCUCCCUGGCUUCUGUUUUACUCUUUCAAUCUAUGCUCCAUACUAAGCCAGAGAUAUCUAAAAUGCUGGUCUAAUUCCACACUUCUGCUUAAAAAUUCAUUAAUGGCUCUUCAUUCUUCUCAGGAUAAAGUCCAAUCAUGGCCUAUAAAGAUUUUUGUGACAGCUCUUC